GAUGAACGCUGGCGGCGUGCCUAAUACAUGCAAGUCGAGCGAACAGACGAGGAGCUUGCUCCUCUGACGUUAGCGGCGGACGGGUGAGUAACACGUGGAUAACCUACCUAUAAGACUGGGAUAACUUCGGGAAACCGGAGCUAAUACCGGAUAAUAUAUUGAACCGCAUGGUUCAAUAGUGAAAGACGGUUUUGCUGUCACUUAUAGAUGGAUCCGCGCCGCAUUAGCUAGUUGGUAAGGUAACGGCUUACCAAGGCAACGAUGCGUAGCCGACCUGAGAGGGUGAUCGGCCACACUGGAACUGAGACACGGUCCAGACUCCUACGGGGAGCAGCAGUAGGGAAUCUUCCGCAAUGGGCGAAAGCCUGACGGAGCAACGCCGCGUGAGUGAUGAAGGUCUUCGGAUCGUAAAACUCUGUUAUUAGGGAAGAACAAAUGUGUAAGUAACUAUGCACGUCUUGACGGUACCUAAUCAGAAAGCCACGGCUAACUACGUG
This 497-nucleotide ribosomal RNA is filed under the name uncultured bacterium. Its description in RNAcentral is "partial 16S ribosomal RNA". It matches the Rfam family "Bacterial small subunit ribosomal RNA", at positions 28 to 507 of the family's 1533-position model. The record is from RNAcentral.